AGCAUGGGGGUCCCGCGGCCUCAACCCUGGGCGCUGGGGCUCCUGCUCUUUCUCCUGCCCGGGAGCCUGGGCGCAGAGCCCCCCUCCAUGCGCCUGAAGGCCCGACCCAGCAGCCCUGGCUUUUCCGUGCUUACCUGCAGCGCCUUCUCCUUCUACCCUCCGGAGCUGCAACUUCGGUUCCAGCGGAAUGGGCUGGCCGCUGGCACCGGCCAGGGCGACUUCGGCCCCAACAGUGACGGAUCCUUCCACGCCUCAUCGUCACUAAUAGUCAAAAGUGGCGAUGAGCACCACUACUGCUGCGUCGUGCAGCACGCGGGGCUGGCGCAGCCCCUCAGGGUGGAACUGGGUGAGGCCCCGCCCGGUGGUGAUGCUCCUGGUUUCCCGUUGCCUUGUCUCACUGCUGCGCCGUUCCUUCCUGAGUCUGACCUUCUUCCCCACUGCUGCCACCUCCUUGAAUCUGACUGCCUUGAACCUCGCGCCUGUCAGUGCCCCCAAAACCUGAUGGCUUGUCCUUCCCAAGGCCGACUGCCUUCCGUCUCCUGCUGCUUCUGGCCUCACUGAGUCUGAAGAGCUGUUAACUAC
RNAcentral lists this small RNA (582 nucleotides) under Pongo abelii (Sumatran orangutan). RNAcentral describes it as "retained intron". Lineage: Eukaryota; Metazoa; Chordata; Mammalia; Primates; Hominidae. The record is from RNAcentral.